AUGAACGCUGGCGGCGUGCCUAAUACAUGCAAGUCGAGCGCACGGACGAGAAGCUUGCUUCUCUGAUGUUAGCGGCGGACGGGUGAGUAACACGUGGAUAACCUACCUAUAAGACUGGGAUAACUUCGGGAAACCGGAGCUAAUACCGGAUAAUAUUUUGAACCGCAUGAUUCAAAAGUGAAAGACGGUCUUGCUGUCACUUAUAGAUGGAUCCGCGCUGCAUUAGCUAGUUGGUAAGGUAACGGCUUACCAAGGCAACGAUGCAUAGCCGACCUGAGAGGGUGAUCGGCCACACUGGAACUGAGACACGGUCCAGACUCCUACGGGAGGCAGCAGUAGGGAAUCUUCCGCAAUGGGCGAAAGCCUGACGGAGCAACGCCGCGUGAGUGAUGAAGGUCUUCGGAUCGUAAAACUCUGUUAUUAGGGAAGAACAUAUGUGUAAGUAACUGUGCACAUCUUGACGGUACCUAAUCAGAAAGCCACGGCUAACUACGUG
RNAcentral lists this ribosomal RNA (496 nucleotides) under uncultured bacterium. RNAcentral describes it as "partial 16S ribosomal RNA". It matches the Rfam family "Bacterial small subunit ribosomal RNA", at positions 29 to 507 of the family's 1533-position model. The record is from RNAcentral.